GUGUAAGCAACACAUGCUAUCGGGAUUUUGACAGGAAAGAUAAUGGAGGCGCGAGCUGCUGCACUUUUCUUCUUGGCUGCUGGUUUGAUUCACACAACAUACUCAGCAUGUAUCAUGAGUCCUGUUCAAUCUAAAAUUGUGAAUGGUUCAGUACAAUAUUUCUGCACAUACAAAGAUAAAGAAUUGGGAGUUGGCGAACGUUUCCGAACUGAUGUUUGCCUCGAAUGUAGUUGUAGUGAAAAUGGAAUGUGGUGCUGUGGAGUUGGUCAUGCUGCUGGUGUAAUGGUAGCUAAAGACUGUGUACAGAAGAAGUAUGAUAAUUGUUGUUAUCAGUUUUUUGAUGUUUUAACUGGAGGUAACUGUACAGAUCUCUACUGUCCACCACCAUUUAAAAUGUAUAAAAACUAUGAAUUAAUAUAACCCCACAGAAUAUCAAUAAAACA
Patella vulgata (common limpet) is the source of this 443-nucleotide long non-coding RNA. RefSeq lists it as uncharacterized. The transcript has 4 exons. The record is from RefSeq and is a predicted model, not a curated record. NCBI's taxonomy places the organism in Eukaryota, Metazoa, Mollusca, Gastropoda, Patellidae.